GGUUUGCAAAUAAACUUCCCAGCCAUUUCCAGUCAACAAUUGCCAUCCAAGCAGUUGAAGCUGGUCCUUCAUUAAUCAGCCUCCCAGUUUGCCUGAGGCUUGCUCUAAUUGAUUUAUUGCAGAGCUCCUGUUCUCUAGGAAUCAUAAAUAACAGAAAUUUACAAAAUUUAACUCCAACAUGUCAAUGCAAUUUUCAGUGGUUUUCCGAUUCUUUAUGGUUUAGCAAUGUGCAGGGGCACAGCAGUACACUCAAACCUCCUGAUGCAUGCAAGAAGGCAAGCAGCUCUCUGUUUUACACACCCUGAUCUAAGUAUUUGGGAGAAGACAGUUUUUUAUAAGAUACACAUUUUGUGCUAUGGUCUGGUUCCCAGAUCAGUCCUUAGACCAUUACAAGCCAUUCUCAAGGAUGUCAAUGAAGCUGGCUGGCUUAGUAGCACUACAAGCUGAUUUAUAAUUUAGUUUCCAUGGGCUGCAAGGCUUCUAAAGUUACUGUCACAUGUAGCUCCUGAGCAAACACCUGAGAAUGCUAUUCCCCUAAAGCCACUUAAGGCAAGGAAGGCCCUUGCUCAGCUCUUUGCUCACACCCUUUUAUGCAGAUAUGGGCAGGUGAUGCUGGGGAGCUUUGAGUGAGUGCAGCUGGGACUCCCUCUCACCUGCACUGUUUGCAGGAAUCCCUGCAGGUUCUGUUCUUGCCUUGCUCACCUCAUUGCUGCUGCUGCAAGGCUUGCCAGGGACACUGGUACUUGCUAGUGAAUCACUGAGGGAGAUGGAGCAAAAGCAUCACCUGAAGAGCCAACACCGUGUUUGCACAGCUCAUCAGAGGGAGCUGAAGCAUGAGGCUGGAGAAGACCUCCAUGGUCACUGGCUUAUGUCUUCCCCAGCAACAAACCAUACCAUGGAAACUCUCCUGCAAACAGGUCAAGCUUCUCACGGAAUCAGCUGGAUUUUAGCCACAGGCAGAUACCCCCUCCCAUUACCCCUGGCCUCCCAACGCAGCCUGCAGGUCGGUGUGAAGAAGUGAGCACCAUGGGAGGGAAGAUAUAAAAACCAUCCAUUUUCAAUGUGUUGGAAUUGUCCACUUUGAAGAAGCUGAUACAGCAGCUCUCUACAUCUUUCCAGUCAAAAGAUGCUUACAUUCAACAUAAUUGCAAACACAGGCUCAGCCUGCUCAUUAAUCACCACCUAAGAACAUGGCACCAAGCAGAUGUAGUGCUGAAAUAAGAGACUGCAUCCUGAAGCAGAAGAGUGGAAGAAAUAGUGCUGCAAGGAGAGAGGGAGCAGAUCAGUAGAUCAAGGGCUGGAGCAUUCCAGAAAUGAAGAGACAACUGGGAGAGACUCAGAGAAGUUUGGUUUUUAUCAGUCAAGUGAGCUACAAAAGUGAAGAUGAGCUACUUUUCAUUUCACAGGAUCAAAAGCACAGCAUUUGUUUAGAAGUGUACACUGAAAUAAAAAAAGAGAAACCUGGUUAUCA
RNAcentral lists this long non-coding RNA (1471 nucleotides) under Numida meleagris (helmeted guineafowl). RNAcentral's name for it is "lncRNA (ENSNMEG00000022653.1)". Lineage: Eukaryota; Metazoa; Chordata; Aves; Galliformes; Numididae. The record is from RNAcentral.